CAGUAGCCGCGGGAAUACGUAGGUGGCAAGCGUUGUCCGGAAUUAUUGGGCGUAAAGGGCUCGCAGGCGGUUUCUUAAGUCUGAUGUGAAAGCCCACGGCUCAACCGUGGAGGGUCAUUGGAAACUGUUAAACUUGAGUGCAGGAGAGAAAAGUGGAAUUCCUAGUGUAGCGGUGAAAUGCGUAGAGAUUAGGAGGAACACCAGUGGCGAAGGCGGCUUUUUGGCCUGUAACUGACACUGAGGCGCGAAAGCGUGGGGAGCAAACAGGAUUAGAUACCCCCGUAGUCCCUGUCUCUUAUAC
This 301-nucleotide ribosomal RNA is filed under the name uncultured bacterium. Its description in RNAcentral is "partial 16S ribosomal RNA". It matches the Rfam family "Bacterial small subunit ribosomal RNA", at positions 509 to 807 of the family's 1533-position model. The record is from RNAcentral.